UGGGGAAUAUUGGACAAUGGGCGAAAGCCUGAUCCAGCCAUGCCGCGUGUGUGAAGAAGGUCUUCGGAUUGUAAAGCACUUUAAGUUGGGAGGAAGGGCAGUAAGCGCAUACCUUGCUGUUUUGACGUUACCGACAGAAUAAGCACCGGCUAACUCUGUGCCAGCAGCCGCGGUAAUACAGAGGGUGCAAGCGUUAAUCGGAAUUACUGGGCGUAAAGCGCGCGUAGGUGGUUCGUUAAGUUGAAUGUGAAAGCCCCGGGCUCAACCUGGGAACUGCAUCCAAAACUGGCGAGCUAGAGUAGGGCAGAGGGUGGUGGAAUUUCCUGUGUAGCGGUGAAAUGCGUAGAUAUAGGGAGGAACACCAGUGGCGAAGGCGGCCACCUGGGCUCAUACUGACACUGAGGUGCGAAAGCGUGGGGAGCAAACAGG
This 429-nucleotide ribosomal RNA is filed under the name Pseudomonadota bacterium. RNAcentral's name for it is "Proteobacteria bacterium partial 16S ribosomal RNA". It matches the Rfam family "Bacterial small subunit ribosomal RNA", at positions 355 to 776 of the family's 1533-position model. The record is from RNAcentral. Lineage: Bacteria; Pseudomonadati; Pseudomonadota.